CAUGGCAACUGUAAACAUUGUGCGGGAGCAUGCCCGGUUGUCAUGGGAACUGUCUGCGGGAGCAUGAAGGCAGCCGGACGGAGCGCGUCUGCGGGUCACUGGCAACAUUAGCCGAAGAGAGAACUGUACAAAAAUAACAUUAGCAACACAUCAGCAUGUUACAAUCCACAGUUGCUCCAGUGGAGGGGAGGUUACGUCGCUGUGUGCCAAGCCUGCCAGCUAUCAAGCCAGACAGGCUGAAAACCGCUAAAGCACUGGUGGAGAAAGCAGUGAAGGUGAUUAUAUGCUGAAACAGAUUUCACGUUGAUACCUGUCCAUGUUCAGCCGCUAUCCAUUUGUGUGAUAUGUCAUUUUUUUCCCCAUUUCUUUUCCACUUAUUCUCAGUGGAGGAAAGUGUUUUCAGUGCAGGGACCCUUAUCCUGUGAUCCGCGCUGCCUUAUGGGCCAGAGGGUGGGUGGAACGUCAUUUUCCCCAUCCGGUCCAGAGAGCCCCUCAUUACCAUGGCGAUGACGAAGAAGAUGGUGAUGACGGGGAUGGAGGUGCUGAUCUUAGUGUUGGUCACAUGCUGUGUUCGUCACAAAAGGAAACCGAUCACAGUAGCUCCUCUCAGAUGGGACUGAUGUAAAUGUGGAAAUACGUCAUCCAGGUGCACAGACAAAGUCUGAAAUGUUUGCUAGGUUAGCGUCCCACAUGUUCUUUGGCUCAGCUAAAGCUAACUCUCUCCAACUUCUGGAUCUUUUUAGUUGCUUGUUGUUAAAAUAUCUUGCUAGAGGUGCUGAAGCUCAGAAAGUCUGAGAUGUUUGUUCAAAAUAAGCUCCUUCUCAAGUCUUAUCUGAACUGUCCUCUUUUAUCUCAUUUAUGUAGAGAUUAAACUUCAGUGUCAUUCAUUGAUGUUAAAGUGCAGUUUUUCAAAUGUUUGUUGCAC
Molecule: long non-coding RNA, 925 nt
Organism: Amphiprion ocellaris (clown anemonefish)
Lineage: Eukaryota; Metazoa; Chordata; Actinopteri; Pomacentridae
Source: Ensembl